UAGAAUUUGGUGUAAUUGGGAGCACGGAGAGUUUUGGAUUCUUAGGAGUAGGUUCGAUUCCUAUAGUUCUAG
Molecule: transfer RNA, 72 nt
Filed under: Bison bonasus (European bison)
Lineage: Eukaryota; Metazoa; Chordata; Mammalia; Artiodactyla; Bovidae
Description: tRNA-Gln
Rfam family: tRNA
About the family: Transfer RNA (tRNA) molecules are approximately 80 nucleotides in length.
Source: RNAcentral